Molecule: long non-coding RNA, 1900 nt
Filed under: Salmo salar (Atlantic salmon)
Lineage: Eukaryota; Metazoa; Chordata; Actinopteri; Salmoniformes; Salmonidae
Description: lncRNA (ENSSSAG00000110130.1)
Source: RNAcentral
CUGUAGUCUGGGGGGAUUCUGAGGAGUAUACUGUAGUCUGGGGGGGUUCUGAGGAGUAUACUUCUGGGGGGGGGGUCCUGAGGAGUAUACUGUAGUCUGCAGAGGGGGGUGACAGUCUGAGGCUGGAACAGCUGCAUGUGCUCUGAGUAACUGUUUAACUUGACAUUUUCCCAGCAUCUCUUCCUGCUUGUCUCCCAUAUGGUCUAUUCCUGUACACGGAGGCAGGCAGACCCCUCUGCCCCCAGGGGAAAUCUACAUUUCCUAUCCGGGUGGGGGAGAUGAAUUCCCGGGCUGUGUUCAGUCAAGGUUAAGGGUGUUCAGUAAUGGCCUCAGAUCUGAAUUGAAGGGUCAAUUGAAGGAAUUUUACAAGGUAAUAAGCUCACCACAGCUGUGAGGAGUCACAGUUUAACUUUAUUCCCACAAAAUCAACUUUAAUUAUAAUUUUUGAAUGUGACACUAUCCAAUCUCCCACCUCUAUAACAGCCAAUGAUUUGGGAUUCACACACACACACACACACACACACACGAAGUUAAACUCUUGAUAGCGAUGUUUUGUCUUUGAAGUUUCCUAUUUAACACAUUCCAUCGCCUGUUCUGUUCCUAUUUCCUCAUGUGUUUUCCAUGACUACAACCUUUUGACACUAUGUUUUAUGUCCGGCCAUUGUAUCUGGGGGCAUAGAAUUGUCCAAAGUAAUCAACUGACGACAAUACUACGUUUGAGGAUUUAUUGAUACAUUACAUGGCCAAAAGUAUUUGGACACCUGCUCAUCGAACAUCUUAUUCCAAAAUCAUGGGCAUUAAUAUAGGGUAUACUGAAUAUGGAGUUGGAUUCCCCUUUACUGCUAUAACAGCCUCCAUUCUUCUGUUGAAGACUUUCCACCAGAUGUUAGAACGUAGCUGAUUAACUGAUUCUUAGUCAUUAAAUGGAUAGUUCACCCAAAUGACACAUUGAAAUAUUGAUUUCCUUACUUUGUAAGCAGUUUAUGGACAAGGUAUCACAGCAAUCCAUGCUUUGGUUGUGUUUACAUGGCCGACUGUUUCAAAUGCUAACUUUUUAGCAUUUGUGGCCCAAAUCCAAUGCCAGUCAAUGGUACCUAUAUUAGCAUUUUCACACUUAAUGUCUAAAUAAUCUAUAAUGAACUGAUUUGGCCAUGACAUGCAUAAACUAUUCCUUUAAAUAUAACCAGCUUUCACUUAGCCUUUUACUAGGAGCAACCUUCCUAAAGUGAAGAUGUUGGUAAGGCCCAAAUAUUGUACUUGAAUAUACAGCACAUUUUGUUUGUGAUUAGCUUAUUACUUUGGUCUUAUGGUCUGUGAUAUGGACCAUGUUUUUGUUCUUCCUGUUUAGGGAUCAUGCCCACACUUUGUGCAAAUCUGUUCUUGCCCAUAGAGAUAGAUAGAGGGCUCUAGUGCCCAAAAGCAUGUUUUAGCAUGGGCAGCGCCAUUGAGGAUUUUUACCAUUUUGAAAUCAUCAGCUUAGUGGGACUUCCUAUGGGUUAAGGAAGAAUCAUAUAAUUCUAUCCAGGUUACAAGGAGGGAUCUGCCAAUAAAUUAUACUCAUGAGAAAAUGUUUCAUAACUGCUGGUUGCAGUCUCCAACCUUGGCUUUAUACCUGUUCAAACAACACUCUCUAGGUGUUAAUAUGCACUCUUUCAGUUUGUUUACCAACUCAUAGAAGUAGUAGAAGAAGAAAAUUGUCUACAUCAAAAUGGAGAUGGCCUCAAUUGGUCCUGCCCGUGUUCUCACAGACGCCAUAAUGGAGCAGAUGCAAUGAUGUGAUGUUUAUCUAAGUGUAUGGGUUUACCAUAUACAGAAAACAGUGUUCUAUUUGAAUUGAUGCUUAAAUGUAUGUUUGGAAAUAGAAAGUCAUCAACAAGUGGUAGGCUAUGGGAGGGGCCCC